This 451-nucleotide ribosomal RNA is filed under the name uncultured bacterium. RNAcentral describes it as "partial 16S ribosomal RNA". It matches the Rfam family "Bacterial small subunit ribosomal RNA", at positions 29 to 523 of the family's 1533-position model. The record is from RNAcentral.
AACGAACGCUGGCGGCAUGCCUAACACAUGCAAGUCGAACGAUUGCCUUCGGGUGAUAGUGGCGCACGGGUGCGUAACGCGUGGGAAUCUGCCCCCUGGUCUGGGAUAACCAUUGGAAACGAUGGCUAAUACCGGAUGAUAUCGCGCGAUCAAAGAUUUAUCGCCAGGGGAUGAGCCCGCGUCCGAUUAGCUAGUUGGUGAGGUAAGAGCUCACCAAGGCGACGAUCGGUAGCUGGUCUGAGAGGAUGAUCAGCCACACGGGGACUGAGACACGGCCCAGACUCCGACGGGAGGCAGCAGUGGGGAAGAUUGGACAAUGGGCGAAAGCCUGAUCCAGCAAUGCCGCGUGAGUGAUGAAGGCCUCAGGGUUGUAAAGCUCUUUUACCCGGGAUGAUAAUGACAGUACCGGGAGAAUAAGCUCCGGCUAACUCCGUGCCAGCCGCCGCAGUAA